This 468-nucleotide ribosomal RNA is filed under the name uncultured bacterium. Its description in RNAcentral is "partial 16S ribosomal RNA". It matches the Rfam family "Bacterial small subunit ribosomal RNA", at positions 28 to 507 of the family's 1533-position model. The record is from RNAcentral.
GACGAACGCUGGCGGCGUGCUUAACACAUGCAAGUCGAACGGAAAGGCCCUGCUUUUGUGGGUUGCUCGAGUGGCGAACGGGUGUGUAACACGUGUGUAGCCUGUCCUUUACUGUGGGAUAACUUCUUGAAACUGGGGCUAAUACCGGAUAUGAGCUCUUGCUGCAUGGGGGGUGUUGGAAAGAUUCGGCGUUUGGGCAUGGACUCGCGGUAUAUCAUCUUGUUGGUGGGGUAGUGGCUUACAAAUGCUUUGACGGGUAGCCGGCCUGAGAGGGUGACCCGCCAGAAUGGGACUGAGAUACGGCCCAUACUCGUACGUGGGGAAGCGGUGACGAAUAGUGCAUAAAGCGCGGAAGCCUGAUACAGGAACGCCGCGUGGGGGAUAACGGCGUUCGGGUAAUAAAGCUCUUUCGCGUGGGACGAAGCGUGAGUGACGGUAACGGGUAAGGAAGCACCGGCUAACUACGUG